ACCAAAAAACUCUUAGGGAAACCAAUUCCCAUAAGGGUUGUGGCCAAAGAAACAAGAACCACAAGCUGCAGAAGCAUGUGGUAUUGGCCUUCAGGUCCCAUGUGAUCAGUAGAGUGAAGGUGAAAGAGAAGAAGCUGCUGCCCAAAGGCUAUGGCUCCAAGGAGUUGGGUCAAACCAUGUUGUGCUUUUGGGGCAAUUUUGUCAAGAAUGAUAGCAAAAGCUGCAUAGACCAAGAAGGCCAUGGAGAUUGAACAGUGCUCAAAGUUGCGGAGACGGUUGGUGGGGAUGGUUCCAUCGUCAUCGAAGGGUUGGUGUUUCUCCGGGGCUAUGAACAGUUCCGUUGCAAUGAAGGCAAAUGAGCCUCCCAUGAUUAAGAAGGGCUCCAAAUACUUGAAUUUGGUGGUGGGAAACCAGGUUGGAGAUGCGUAGGAGUUUGGCUGGUAAAGAUGGAGUUUAAUGUGGUUGAAGAGGUGCCAUAAGCCAAUGAGAAGAAACCCAAGGCCUGGUGUUACAUGUCCAACUAAAGUGCCCAUUUCCAAUUGCUUGGUUUGUGUUGGAGAGAGAGAGAGAGAGAGGUUUUUUAUGUAGUUGGUGUUGUUUAAGCCUAGAGAGAGAGAGAGAGAGAGAGAGAGGUUUUUGAUGUUGUUGGUGUUGUUUAAGCCGAGAGAGAGAGAGAGAGAGAGAGAGAGAGAGAGAGAGAGAGAGAGAGAGAGAGAGAGGUUGCUUAUGUUGUUGGUGUUGAUUAAGCCUAAAGGGAAAGAAAGGGAGGGAGGGAGGGCGAGAGAGAGAGAGGUUGUUUAUGUUGUUGGUGUUGUUUAAGCCUAAAGGGAAAAUAAGGGAGGGUGAUGGAGAAGGGUGGCAAAUGAGAGAGGGAUUUUAAAGAGUUCAGGGAGGGGAAUGGGGGUGAAAUCCUAAGAAGUCUAAAGGCUUCCAAGCUUAGGAGAAGUUUUUUAAUUUGUUGGGAACACGAUUUGUUACCGUAAGUGAGAGGACUUUAAAUGGGUAAACUGUCAUUUGACCUUUUGAACUAUUACUCCAGUUGAAAUUGAUCCUCGAACUAUUUUUUUGGUAAAUUAACCCCCUGAACUAUUUGAAAUAAGACAAUUGACCCUUGUCGGUAGAUUCCAUCUACUAUUUCAUCAAAUUCAAAGGAAAAUUAGUAUUUCCUUCAUCAAUUCUUACUUAUCAACUAUAACUAACAAUGUACUUAUGACAUGUGAAAACAAAAUAAUGAGUAAUGACAAUGUGAGAUAGUCCGUUAUGUAAACGUUUGGUUUUUUAUGUUUUCUCAUUAUGCUAUAUAUUUUUGAAUUAUUUUGUGUCCAUGUGUCAAAAUUUUGUUGGUGUUUAUAGAUGACAAGUAAUAAUUAAUGAUAAAAUGACUAAUUUGCACCUUGAAUUUGUCAGAAUUGAUUCUGCAAUCUAAUGGCAAGGGGUUAAUUGACUAAUUUUAAAUAGUUCAGGGGUUAAUUUACCAAAAAAUUAAUUUAAUAAGUCAAUCUCGACUGAAGUGAUAGUUUAGGGACUCAAACCGCAAUUUACCCACUUUAAUUAUAUAGAAAGAAACAUAGACUCAGUUACGAUUCGCUAGGGCUCCAUUUAGGUUAACUGUGGGUUUUGGUUGUUCUAUUAUGGGAGUGGCCUCUUAAUCUGAUAAUCCUACUUCUGAUAUUCAGGACCAAAAGCAGUCCCUGAAUAAUUGAUUUUUUUUAGAUAACGUUUUAUCGCAUUGCCAUCUAACAACUAACAACAAUUAAUUGAGUGAUUCUUUGAUGUGUCACUCAUAUUGCGUUACUAUUCUCCUCAGCCUAUAACACUUCGAUUUGUUUUUUGCUAAUAUAUUUGGAGUGAGACUUAUCAACUUUUUCAUCCACUUUUAUCAUAAUAUGUAGGAUCAUACAUUACAUGACUUGUAUUUCUAACAUCCAUAAAACUUUCUACGAGUAAUCUAUGUAUCUUCUAUAUCUUAAUACAAGGAUUCAAGCUAGCCAGAGUAACAAGCUACAAACCAUAUCACAAUUCGGUUCAAAUAAAGUUUUUCCGCCCUUAUUAAGUUCCAAACCAUUAAAAGAAGUGAAAACUUGAGAUAACUUCAAUUGGUUUAAUUAGUCCACUGACUAGGCUUUCACGUCAGGUCCUAAUGUCAUGACUCAUUAUAUAUUUGUUCAAUACCCAAUCCGCCCUUUACGAUUUUUAUUAUUAUUUUAUUCAUACAAUAAUAUAUUUACACUAUAGGUAAAGGAAUAAAUUAACUUCAAACUCAUUAUUUAUGAUAAUUCGAGUUCACAAAGUAAGUUUCUACAUCUUUCCAAGUAAUCUGCUUAACAAAAGUAGUAAGAAACAUAAUACAUAGUAAUCAUGAAAAACUGGCCUUUGUUUCACGGAAAGAAAAGUUUAAGGGUGAGUAGCUUUUCGCAUCUUCCAGGAAGGAGCUCAAGUCUGGAAAUAUGUAGCCAUAUUUUAGUCUUCUUGCAUGUACCAUAUUUUAGGCCAUGCUUUACGUACGUAUAAAUAUACAAAACAGACACCAACCUAUCUUGGAAGACAAACAUCCGCCAUAUGGGAAAACCCAUUUAUGUUUGGAAGCCCAGUCCUUGUGAUUAAGACUCGCUAAUCUUCGGUAGUCAUAACCAAGAUCCACAUCCUCUUGAUCUAUUUCCCAGUGAAAAAACACAUCCUCGACCUCUCAUGAACGCUUUCACUUAAAUCAUGGAUAUAGGUGAUUGUGAAUCGAUUCGUAUCUACGUUAUAAAAUUCUUAAUCGAUGGAUCAUUCAUCAUGAUUGCGAUUUCGAGGACGAAAUUUUUUUAACGGAGGGAAGAAUGUGAAAUCCCGUUCCUGGAUUUCACUGUUAUAAUCUACGUAUUUGUAUUAUUGAGAUUUUAUAUUAUUUCUCGAGAAUUUAUAUUAAUCUGUUUGAAUUUAGAUUUUAAUUAAACAAGUUACGAAGUUUGACGUUUGGAAAUUAAUUAUUUAAAAUCCGUAGACCUUUCGAGGUCACAAUUUAUAUUUUCGAAUAGAUCUUGAAACCAUGAAUGUAUAGGCGAAAGCCGUUUGCGAGUUCGGAUUAUACGGUAUAGUUACGAACAUUUGAAGUUGUUUUACUAAACUAUAGAUUUUAAAUCAAUUAAACUUCCACAAGAAAGAAGCCUAUUCAGAUUUAAGCAAAAAUAAGGGGACAAAUCAGCUAAAAGGAGAAGGACCAAUCAAAUUAAAGGGGGAAGGUUUCAAAAAAAAAAAAAAAAAAAAGGGGGAGGGGUCUAAUUCUAACCAAUUUUGGGGGUCGUCAAAAACACAAAUAGAUUUUCUUCUAAUGAGGAAAGGGGACCGUAUAACUUAUAAGGAUUGCAAAGUUAUACCGGGAGAGAGCUUGGCUAAUCAACAUCGCUUGUUGGUGAUGGAUGUACAUAUUAAAAGAGAGAGAGAGAAAAAAGAACAAGACUUGAAAGUGCCCAAGGACUAGAUGGUGAAAUCUAAAAGGAGAAAAACAAGUCAUUUUCAAAGAGAAAGUAAUCACCCAAUGUGUGUGGGAUAGAGAGGGGGAAGCUCGCCAAAGGUGGGAUUCCAUGGCUAGUUGUAUCCGAAAAGUAGCAAAAUAGGUAUUAGGAGAGUCCAAGGGCUUUGCUCCACACCAAAAGGAAUCUUCCAAGGGCUUUGCUCCACACUAAAAGGAAUCUUAGUGGUGGAAUGAGGAGGUACAAACAAAGGUGAAGGCUAAGAAGGAAUGUUGUAAAGCCUUAUACAAGGAUAGGACCGAUGAAAAUGGUGAAAGGUAUAGAAGAGCGAAGCAAGAGGCGAAGAAAGCUGUAAGAGAAGCUAAGCUAGCGGUUUAUGACGAUAUGUAUAAGCGACUCGAUACCAAAGAAUGAGAGUUUGAUAUCUAUAAACUAGCUAAAGCAAGGGAAAAGAAGAUAAGGGACCUAAACCAAGUGAGGUGCAUUAAGGACGAGGAUGGAAAGGUUCUUGCUACAGAGAACGCAGUCAAAGAUAGAUAGAGAGGUUAUUUUCAUAAUCUUUUCAAUGAAGGACAUGAAAUGAGUACUUCUUUGGGGGAGUUAAGUAACUCAGAAGAGUGUAGAAACUACUCCUUUUACCGCCGAAUCAGGAAGGAAUAAGUGGUUGUAGCUUUGAAAAAGAUGAAGCAUAGAAAAGCAGUGGGCCCCAAUGAUAUACCGAUCAAAGUGUGGAAGGUCUUGGGAGAGACGGGAAUAGCAUGGCUCACUGACCUUUUCAAUAGGAUUUUGAAAACGAAGAAGAUGUCAAAUGAGUGGCGAAAGAGCACUUUGGUGCCUAUCUACAAGAAUAAGGGUGACAUACAAAAUUGCAUGAACUAUGGGGGUAUCAAGCUAAUGAGUCAUACAAUGAAGCUCUUGGAGAGAGUCAUUGAGCAUAGAUUGAGGCAAAAGACACGGGUUUCAGACAACCAAUUCAGGUUCAUGCCAGGGCGCUCAACCAUGGAGGCAAUCUAUCUCUUACGAAGAUUGAUGGAAAAAUAUAGAGAUGGGAAAAAUGAUUUACAUAUGGUCUUUAUAGAUUUGGAAAAAGCGUAUGAUAGGGUCCCAAGAGACAUUCUUUGGAGGAUUUUAGAGAAGAAAAGAGUACGAGUAGCAUAUAUCCAAGCUAUAAAAGAUAUGUAUGAUGGAGCAAAGACUGCCGUAAGAACUCAUGAAGGACAAACCGAAAGCUUCCCCAUAACUGUAGGGUUACAUCAAGGCUUAUCUUUAAGUCCUUACCUUUUUGCAUUGGUAAUGGCUAAGUUAACAUAACAUAUUCAAGAUAAUAUUCCUUGGUGUAUGCUUUUCACAGACGAUAUAGUGUUGAUAGAUGAAACUCAGGAAGGGGUAAAUGCGAAGCUUAACCUUUGGAGAGAAGUGUUUGAAUCUAAAGGUAUUCGCCUAAGCCGAUCAAAGACAGAAUAUAUAGAGUGCAAGUUCAGUGCAAAUGGAGGCCAAAAUGAGUUAAGGGUAAGGAUUGGAGAUCAGGAAAUACCAAAAAGCGACCGUUUUCGCUACCCAGGAUCUAUCUUGCAAAAGAACGGAGAAUUAGAUGGAGACCUCAACCAUAGAAUACAAGCUGGAUGGAAAAAGUGGAAGAGUGCAUCCAGCAUGUUGUGUGACCACCGUAUGCCACUAAAGAUCAAGGGAAAAUUUUAUAGGACGACAAUAAGGCUGGCGAUGCUGUAUGGCACAAAAUGUUGGGCUGUGAAACAUCAACACGUACAUAAAAUGGGUGUAGCGAAGAUGAGGAUGCUUCGUUGGAUGUGUAGGCACACGAGAAAGCAUAAGAUUAGGAAUGAGGACAUUCGAGGUAAAGUAUAAGUAGCCAAAAUUGAAGGAAAGAUGAGAGAAAACCGGUUACGGUCGUUUGGACAUGUGCAAAGAAGGCCUACUGACGCUCCGGUUCGAAGAUGUGACUACAGGACAGAGGUUCAAGGCCAAAGGGGUAGAGGAAGACUUAGGAAAACUUUGAAAUAGACCCUAAAAAAAGACUUAGAGUACUUGGAUCUAAUGGAGGACAUGACACAGAACCGAGCGCAAUGGUGUUCUAGGAUUCAUAUAGCCGACCACACUUAAUGGGAAAAUGCUUUGUUGUUGUUGUAUUGGACCCGUUAACCGACCAACUUGACCCACAUGUAUCUUCUCUGUCCGAGCUCUGUUUUGGGUGAUCUUAGUGUCCAUGGAAAGCUCUUGACGAGCCCUACAUCUCUGUAGUGUUAGAUUUCCCAUUUUCUUUUCCAUCUUUGCAGUUCGAAGCCACAAAGCCAGGACUUUACAGGUGGUUUUAUCAUUUUUUCGGUGAUUCCGGCAACCAUUUCCUUCGAGUGAGGUAUGAAACUUCAUCUACUCUUCAUAAUCUUCAAGUUGGUAUGCUUGGUUCGUGCUUUCCUAUUCAUUUUAGAGUUGGGUGUUUAGAACCCUAGAAAUCCAGUUUUCUUCGAUGAAUUUGGACGGUUUCCGAUUAGAAUUUAUUGUCGGCCUAGUUGUGAAAAGUGUUUCCCUUAUUGAGAUCUAGCUACCACGUAAAUUUGAGCUCAUUUAGUUAAUGUUGAAAAUUCAGGUUUUCUAAAUCUUCCACCUUGGCUACCACCACGUGUGGCGGUGCAUGGGAUCGUCCACGAGUGUUGUUUAAGUACCAAAUAUCUUCUAGUGACCCUAUGAACCUAUGUCUAGCUUGGUUUCCCGAAAUUCAAUUGUUUGGUGUGUGAUCAAAUUGGACCACCACUUGUUUGUGUGAUUGAUAACAAUCCGAUUGUUGGAUCGUCGUACAAUUUUGUGAGCACGCUAGUUAUCAAUUGUUGGACACUUAAGAACUUACAGAUCGAAAAUCCGACAUGCGAAUCUUCCGAAUUGAAUAACCUUAGAUUGUUGACCUUAAUGGACCUACCUUAUCGACAUUUGACGUUCUAGUCAACGUGCUCUACUCUAGAGUGUCAUUUAUCUCUAGUUUGUUGUUGAGGCUUGAUGGAGCUUAGUUGGCUCAUCACGAUGACGUGUCGUUUCCAGUUGAUGUGUGUCUCGAUAUAUGUAUUAGUGGCACCAUAUUGAGUUAUACUUGUUUAUUAAAUGUGCUUUCUAUUGAAUUGUUAUUUUUAUUUUUAACAUCGAUCUAUAUUUAUUAAUUGUGAUUCGACUGCAGCUUGGAAAUGUUUAUGAAAAAUGGUUAGAUAUGUAUGAUUAGUAUGAUGUGUAUGAUUGUUUUUAUGACGAUGUGAACCCAGAAUCUUAUGAUAAGUAUUAUGUAGAACUUUUAUGCUUGUAUGAUAAGAUAGUUAGUGGUCAUGAGAAGUUGAUAGUGCAAGUGAUUAUGAUGUAAAUCAUAGUGGAUAAGAUAAGGGUAAGUGGUUUGUGUGUUAAUCUAACUGCACCAUGUAGCAGUGGCAUAUGGAUGGUCCUGCUUGGUUAAUCCGCAUUGGGGGACCAUACUAUUUAUGGACCGCGCUUGGUUAAUCCUCGUUAGGCGAUCCUUAUGGCCAUUUUUAUUUAUGGGUGAUCAUGCUUGGUUAAUCCGCAUUGGGUGAUCAUUGCGUAAUAGUUAUGUAUGUGUGACCCUGCUUGGUUAAUCCACGUUGGGGGUCACUACCUACUUGGUUAUCUUAACCCUACUUGGUUAAUCCGCGUUGGGGGGUCACUAGUGGUCCUGCUUGGUUAAUCCGUGUUGGGGGAUCAUACUAUAUAUGGAUUGCGCUUGGUUAAUCCACGUUGGGCUAUCCUUAUGGCCAUGUAUGCUUAGGAGUGAUCAUGCUUGGUUAAUCUGCGUUAGGUGAUCACUUCCUAACAGUUGUAGGAGUGACUCUGCUUGGUUAAUCCGCGUUGGGGGGUCACUGCCUACUUGGUUAUUUUCUCAGGGGUGGCUUUACUUGGUUAAUCCGCAUUGGGGGGUCACUGCCUACUUGGUUACUUUCUCAGGGGUGACUCUACUUGGUUAAUCCACUUUGGGGGGCCACUUCCUGUUUGGUUACUUAUGUAGGCUUCGAUCGAACUGCGUCCCUCUAGCCCUAGUUUUUUUUAUGUAUAUAUGAACGAUGGUUUUGUGAAUCUUGAUGUUUGAAUUAGAAAAGUCGUUGGAUGUCUGGGUGACUCCUUCGGAGUUUGCAAGGACUUGAUUAUGAUUUCAUAAAGCAUGAUGCUAUACUCAAUGUUUAUAGAUUGUGAUCGAUGGUUUGUUUUUACUAAAUAUCACAUACUUGUAUUAUUGUCACCCACCCGAGCUUCGCAGUUUAUCUAAGUGUCUGAUUGGCCCAAUGUACCAUUUCCAUGAUGUAGGCAUUGAUUUUACAUGUGAUAAAUUUGGGUAGAUUAUGAGAAACUGCUUGAUAUUUUGGAUUCCGUUGAGUGGUCCGAAAUCCUUGCUCUUGCUCAUUUCCAUAAGGUUAGUCUAGAACCCUAGAUUCGAGUGAAUGGGAAUUACCCGCACUAGACCUUGUGAAUAUAAAUUAGAUUUACCAUUUUUAUUACUUAUAAUCCAAUUAGGGAAUUAUAUAGAGUUCUUUAAUUAGAUUCAUAAAAUGAUAUGUUAUCGCAUUGUUUGAUUAACGUAGUUAAAUGCUAAGAUCAUGCAUCUUUAAUUCAUGAAUUGUCGGAAUUGUGGAAUGACGUUGAAUAUGAUUGUUAUUAUUAUGAUUAUUUUAGUUGAUCAAGGUAGCUUGAGAUUAAUACUAUGCUUCGUUGGUUAUUUGAUAUGUUACAUGCUAUGGAUGUAUCACGCUAAAGAUAAAGUGAAUGAUGUGAUAAUUGUUCAAGUGUAAUGUAUGACGAACUACGAAUGGCUUGAUCCCUAUUGAGGGUACAUAGGCCGUCUAAUGAGGAGGUUAGAUGCAACUAUAAGAUAUAUGAAAAAUCACUACGAAAUUUGAUUAUGGAGUUGUAAUUUGCCAUAUUCCGGAGGCGGAUAAGUUUGAGGUACGAGUUUUUGUGACGUCACAUGUAGAUCAUGGGCGUAUGUUAGGAUCGAGGUGUGACAAAACUGCUUUCAAUUGCCUUGUAAAAUUACUCAUAAUUAUGACGAAAUUUUUUUCAUGAAAAUAAAAAAUUUCAAUUUUCUCAAAAAACAUGGGUAACCAUCAUGGCUCUAGCCUAUUUUGCAAAUUCAUAUAAAAUUCGUUAUAACAUAUAUUUGCUUUCACCUUUCGCACCGUGUGAUUUUGAAAAUUCAUGUAAGACUUUUGUUAGUAUAGUUGUAGCUGGAGUCGCAUUUAGGCAACGUUUUGGGUUAUAGUACAAUUUUUGUCCAUUUAUUUUUUAGUUUUCGGCUUAAAUAUUCCAUUAAAACUGCUUCAAUUGCAUUAUAAAGUUACUCUUAAUCAUGACGGAAAAUAUUUCUCAGAAAUAAAAAUUUUCAUUUUCUCAAAACAAAAAAAAUGUGGGCUAACCAUCAUAGUUUCUAGGCUAUUUUGCAAAUUUGUAGAAAAAUUGUUGUAAAAUCUAUUUGCUUUCUCCUUCACAACAUUGUCAGGUUUUGAAAAUUCAUGUAAGAUUUUUUUUGUUAAUAUUCUUGUACAUGAAGUCCAUUUUCUAGAAUGUUUUGAGUCGUACUACAAUUUUUGUUGAACUAUUUUCAAGUUUCCGGUUUAAAUAUUCUAUUAAAAAUACAUCUAUGGCUCGAUAAAUGGUAAAAUAGCUUUCAAUUGCCUUAUAAAGUUACUCAUAAUCAUGACGGAAAAUAUUUAGCAAAAUAAAAGUUAUCCAUUUUUCUUAGAAAAACACAUGAGCUAACAAUCACGGUUGCUAGGUUAUUUUGCAAAAUUGUACAAAAAUUGUCAUAAAAUCUAUUUGCUUUCACCUUUACCGCACCAUAGGGUUUUGAAAAUUCAUGUAAGACAUUUUGUUGAUAUUCUUGAUGGCAAAUAUUUUGCAAAAAAUUAUAAAAAAACAAAUUGCAUUUUUGUCAAAAAAAAAAAAGGUGGGCUAACACGGGUUGUAGGCCAUUUUGUAAAUUUGUGUCAAACUUCUUAUUGAUGCUUAUAGAUGAAGUCUCGUUUUAGCAAUGUUUUGGGUCUCACUACAAUUUCUGUCCAUAUAGUUUUAAGCUUUCAGUUUAAAUAUUAUAUUAAGAAUACAUUUGUGGCUCAAUAAAUGGUAAAAUCACUUUAAGUUGCCUUAUAAAGUUACUCUUAAUCAUGAUGGAAAAUAUUUCGAAAAAAAUAAAAAGUUUCCAUUUUGCUCAAAAGAGAACAUUGGCUAAUCUUACUGUUUCUAGGUUAUUUUGCAAAUUUAUACAAAAAUCAUCAUAAAAUCUAUUUGCUUUCACCUUCACAACAAGAUUUCGAAAAUUCAUGUAAGACUUUCUUUUAACAUUGUUGUAGAUGGAAUCUCGUUUUGGCAAUAUUUUGGGCCCUAAUACAAUUUUUGUCCAUUUAUUUUUUAAUUUUUGGCUUAAAUACUUUAUUAAAAUACAUUUGUGACUCAGUAAACUGUAAAACCGCUUUCAAUUGCCUUAUAAAGUUAUUCUCAAUCAUGACUGAAAAUAUUUGGCAAAAAAAAAUGCAUUUUUCUCAAAAAAAAAAAAAAAAACAUGCACUAACUAUCACGGUUUCUAGGCUAUUUGGCAAAUUUGUGAGAAAUCAUUGUGAAAUUUAUUUUCUUGGACCUUCACCACACUGUGUGGUUUUUGAAAAUUCAUGUAAGACUUUUUUAUUGAUAUUCUUGUAAAUGGAGUCCCGUUUUAGCAAUGUUUUGGGUUAUAGUUCUACAUUAGCUCCAAAUACUCUAUAACUUUUCUUAAAUUCUCUUUUCAGGUCCUUAAGUUUUUACAAUUACCAUCACAUACUUUAAAAAGGUCAGCAUGUGGAAGAGACUUUAAAAGCUAUACACCACCGGUCCAUCACAUGUCUUUUCUUGAAGACUUGGAAAGAUACUUUAAGAAGAGAUAUGCCUUACAUGGAACUAAUGGAAGAAAUUGUGCAAAACCGAUUACAGUGAAGUUCUAAAAUUCAUAUAAUCAACAUUACUUAAUGAAAUAAAACUUAAUUGUUAUUGCAAUAUAUAUUUAAAUCCUACUGGUCAUGGAAGUGCGUGGUUGGCCAUAGGUGUAUUUUCUCAAAAAAAACUUCCGUAGGCGUGCUUUGUAUGGGCUCCACUACUAAGUUUUAGACUUUAGGACGGAAGUGAUGAUUGCGUAAUGCAUUAGCAGUGACCAACAAUGUCAAACGUAUUUUAUCCUCCUCAUGCGGUUGGAGGAGCUUUGCACUUGCUUGUCAAACUCAAAAACAGUGUUAAAACUAUAAAAUUAGUUUCACAACCAAAAUCUUCGUCUUACGAUUUAUUUAUUCAUUAAAUAGGACUAUGUAAUAUUAGGCUAAUUUUCCCAGUUAUUAAUUUAUUAUAUCGAAGCUGAUGUUGUUUAGAAAAAUAACAUAUUUUGAGUCCAAGGCAAGGAGCCAUAUGGAUGGUAAUGAUUUAGUGAAAAAUCUCUAAGCUUAAACUAAUCUUUAUGAGCUUAAACAAUGUCUUUCUGUGAAUAUUUCAAAGUCUUUUGUUUAAUGAGACUUAAUUUUAAAAUAACGGGAUCCUUAAGGGGCAUCUUUAAUCCACUAUAACACAUCAUAAAGAAUUCAUUAAAACAAGGUACAAGGUCAUCUUGGUAAACCAUAAACUUAUAUUGGCAAACAAUAUAUAAAUUUCAAUAGCAAGAUGUUGAUUUUGUUAAAUACAUAUAUUCACAUGAAUUAUAUCUGAAUAUCAGAUAAUAAUUGAAUUAAAUAUAUGUAAUAUUAUACAGACUCUAAAUUCCGAAGGCAUGAUAAAUUAUCUCUCUUUCACAAAUGAACUUUUGAUCACAUGGCACACACCAAACACCAAAAGAUUGAACCUAAAGCUAAAACCCAUCAAUAUCAAUGGAAACUAAACAAUUCCUUACACCAAUAUGUGCUCCUCUAAACACCUACAUAUAUACUUUCACACUAGACAAAUCCCUCUUUUAAUUAAUUACGACAACAUUAUGGUUGGUUUAAUCAAAUAUAAAAUGGCAUAUAUCCCACAACCUAAUUCAUUCAUACACACAUAACUAAUCCCAUAUCUCCAUUAUAGCUUGCACUUUUCCUGCUACCUUUCCAUGUCUAUGGGCGCAAAGGCUGUUUUUCCCAUAUGAUUAACAAAACUCUUUGAGUCUCCAAGCUUACUUAUCUUUUGAGAUUCAACAUCAAGAUCCGUAUCCUCUUCAUCUUCUUCGCGUAGCCUUGUCAAUGAAAAAUACUCAACCUUUUCGCCGUAAACCUUAACCAAAACCAAAUAGAAGGACACCCCAAAAAUGGCUAUUCCCACCAAGAACCAACUAAAUUGAAGAUUCACCAAGGACUUGGCUCUGUGACGUGCCUCAUCUCCAUGGCACCUAACCACUUUGUGACCCUCCUCUAAGUUCAUGAAACAACCUUUUGGCAUCAAGUCAGGUGUCCAGAGCAUGAACCCCAUGACCAUAAGCCAAACCCCUUGGAAAAAUAUGCUAAGUGACCUCACAAAGCUGACCAGAAAACUCUUAGGAAAACCAAUUCCCAUAAGGGCUGUGGUCAAAGAAACAAGGACCACAAGCUGCAGAAGCAUGUGGUAUUGGCCUUCAGGUCCCAUGUGAUCAGCAGAGUGAAGGUGAAAGAGAAGAAGCUGCUGCCCAAAGGCUAUGGCUCCAAGGAGUUGGGUUAAACCAUGUUGUGCUUUUGGGGCAAUUUUGUCGAGGACGAUGGCAAAAGCUGCAUAGACCAAGAAAGCCAUGGAUAUUGAAGAGUGCUCAA
RNAcentral lists this long non-coding RNA (12220 nucleotides) under Malus domestica (apple). RNAcentral's name for it is "long non-coding RNA (MDOM_LNC002283)". The record is from RNAcentral. Lineage: Eukaryota; Viridiplantae; Streptophyta; Magnoliopsida; Rosales; Rosaceae.